AGACAAAAUGAGAAAAAAAAUCCAGAAAAUCACAUUGUAGGAUUUUUAAUUAAUUUAUUUGCAAAUUAUGGUGGAAAAUAAGUAUUUGGUCACCUACAAACAAGCAAGAUUUCUGGCUCUCACAGACCUGUAACUUCUUCUUUAAGAGGCUCCUCUGUCCUCCACUCGUUACCUGUAUUAAUGGCACCUGUUUGAACUUGUUAUCAGUUUAAAAGACACCUGUCCACAACCUCAAACAGUCACACUCCAAACUCCACUAUGGCCAAGACCAAAGAGCUGUCAAAGGACACCAGAAACAAAAUUGUAGACCUGCACCAGGCUGGGAAGACUGAAUCUGCAAUAGGUAAGCAGCUUGGUUUGAAGAAAUCAACUGUGGGAGCAAUUAUUAGGAAAUGGAAGACAUACAAGACCACUGAUAAUCUCCCUCGAUCUGGGGCUCCACGCAAGAUCUCGCCCCGUGGGGUCAAAAUGAUCACAAGAACGGUGAGCAAAAAUCCCAGAAUUACAAGGGGGGACCUAGUGAAUGACCUGCAGAGAGCUGGGACCAAAGUAACAAAGCCUACCAUCAGUAACACACUACGCCGCAAGGGACUCAAAUCCUGCAGUGCCAGACGUGUCCCCCUACUUAAGCCAGUACAUGUCCAGGCCCGUCUGAAGUUUGCUAGAGAGCAUUUGGAUGAUCCAGAAGAAGAUUGGGAGAAUGUCAUAUGGUCAGAUGAAACCAAAAUAUAACUUUUUGGUAAAAACUCAACUCGUCGUGUUUGGAGGACAAAGAAUGCUGAGUUGCAUCCAAAGAACACCAUACCUACUGUGAAGCAUGGAGGUGGAAACAUCAUGCUUUGGGGCUGUUUUUCUGCCAGGACGACUGAUCCGUAUAAAGGAAAGAAUGAAUGGGGCCAUGUAUCGUGAGAUUUUGAGUGAAAACCUCCUUCCAUCAGCAAGGGCAUUGAAGAUGAAACGUGGCUGGGUCUUUCAGCAUGACAAUGAUCCCAAACACACCGCCCGGGCAAUGAAGGAGUGGCUUCGUAAGAAGCAUUUCAAGGUCCUGGAGUGGCCUAGCCAGUCUCCAGAUCUCAACCCCAUAGAAAAUCUUUGGAGGGAGUUGAAAGUCCGUGUUACCCAGCAACAGCCACAAAACAUCACUGCUCUAGAGGAGAUCUGCAUGGAGGAAUGGGCCAAAAUACCAGCAACAGUGUGUGAAAACCUUGUGAAGACUUACAGAAAACGUUUGACCUCUGUCAUUGCCAACAAAGAGUAUAUAACAAAGUAUUGAGAAACUUUUGUUAUUGACCAAAUACUUAUUUUCCACCAUAAUUUGCAAAUAAAUUCAUUAAAAAUCCUACAAUGUGAUUUUCUGGAUUUUUUUUCUCAUUUUGUCUGUCAUAGUUGAAGUGUACCUAUGAUGAAAAUUACAGGCCUCUCACAUCUUUUUAAGUGGGAGAACUUGCACAAUUGGUGGCUGACUAAAUACUUUUUUGCCCCACUGUAUAACAUACCAUAGUUUAAAAACAUCAGUGGCAGCAAUACUAUGGUAUAGUGCAAAUGUAGUAGAUAAAACAAGCCAUACAUGUUGGAAGUGUGAAACUAUGCUGUCUUAUAAGCACAGUGAUCAGAAUAAUGUAAAGAUAUUUACCUGCCUGACUACCACCCCCACUUACCUACAGACUGGAGCAGAGGAAUUACACUAGUAUUAAACACUAUACAGGCUAUUACAGUGGUGUUUACCUGUCAAUCAUCUAAGGGAAGUUGCCUAGGGGAGAAGUUACACGGAAAUGCCUUAUCACAUUUCAAUCACAUUCUGACAGCAAAAUACAGUGCAUUUGGAAAGCAUUCAGACUGUUUGACUCUUUACACAUUGUGUUACGUUACUGCUAUAAUGUUUCAGGUAAGUCCCAGAUGCAGGAACGUCGAACUAACAACAGUUUAUCCGACAGGUCAAGGGUAGGCAGGGGACAGUAAUCCGGACAGGUGGGUUAAUGGUACAGGACGGCAGGCAGACUCAGGGAAGGCAGAGUUCAGUAAUCCAGAUAGGAGGGUUAAAGGUAGAGGACGGCAAGCAGAAUCAGGGUAGGCAGAGUUCAGUGAUCCAGAUAGGUGGGUUAAAGGUAGAGGACGGCAGGCAGACUCAGGGUAGGCAGAGGUCAGUAAUCCAGAUAGGUGGGGUACAGGUACAGGACGGCAGGCAGGCUCAGGGUAGGCAGAGUUCAGUUAUCCAGAUAGGUGGGUUAAAGGUACAGGACGGCAGGCAGGCUCAGGGUAGGCAGAGUUCAGUUAUCCAGAUAGGUGGGAUAAAGGUACAGGACGACAGGCAGGCUCAGGGUAGGCAGAGUUCAGUUAUCCAGAUAGGUGGGUUAAAGGUAGAGGACGGCAGGCAGGCUCAGGGCAGGCAGAAAAAAACGGGAAAACAGGAACAAUCGAGAGACAGGAACAGAGGGAAAAACACUGGUAGGCUUGACGAAACAAAAC
Oncorhynchus tshawytscha (Chinook salmon) is the source of this 2466-nucleotide long non-coding RNA. The record is from Ensembl. Lineage: Eukaryota; Metazoa; Chordata; Actinopteri; Salmoniformes; Salmonidae.